This 63-nucleotide transfer RNA is filed under the name Aphidius colemani. RNAcentral describes it as "tRNA-Val". Lineage: Eukaryota; Metazoa; Arthropoda; Insecta; Hymenoptera; Braconidae. The record is from RNAcentral.
AAAAUUUUAGUUUAAUUAAAAUUUAAUACUUACAAUAUUAAGAUAUAUUUAUUAUAAAUUUUU